AUAAAAUCUUAGAUUAAACGUCUUCCUCCAUCAGACUGUUCCAAUGUAAGUUAUUUUUCUUGGAUUCUCUUAUGAUGAACCCAUCUGGAACAAAGGUGUGGCUUUUGGAGUCCGGUGCUUAGAUGUGGAGACCUGUGACUAAGCAGGACCUUAGAAGGCAGUAAGUCUGUCAUGACCUGUGUAAUAUGUAUACACAAAUAUGUGCCCAGAACAAAGAUUCAGCUUUUAGCCAUUGAAUGGAUGUUGCCUCAGAGACAAACUGAAACCUUUAAUUUAGAAAGGUCAAGUUCACUCACAGCAUCCAUCCAGAGCCAUCACCAGUCAUCUUGAUUUUUGCUUUUGCCACUGGACUUCAGUGACAUUGGAUAAAAGACAGUCCUUCUGGUAGUGGCAAGGAACUGGAAAUUGAGUGCCCAUCAAUUGGGGAAUGGCUGAAUGAGUUAUGGUAUAUGAAUGUAAUGGAAUAUCAUUGUUCUAUGGGAAGUGACAAGCCGGCUGAUUUUAGAGGGGCCUGUAAAGACUUGCAUGGACUGGUGCUUGGUGAAAUAAACAGAACCAAGAGAACAUUGUAUACAGCGGCAACAAGAUUAUGUGAUGAUCAACUAUGAUGGACUAGGCUCUUUUCAACCAGAUAGUGAUUCAAGGCAAUUUCAAUGGACUUGUGAUAGAAAGAGCAAUCUGCAUCCAGAGAGAGGACUAUGGGGACUGAAUGUGGAUCAAAGCAUAGUAUUUUCCAGUAAGUAAAUAAAUAAAAGAUCCUUUUAUAGAACUCAAAAUAGAAGGCUUAUUAAAGGCAAAAUAACAUAUUGGUAAGAAUAGAAUCUUAGUAAAUAAGCAAAGGAACUUUGUUUAAAAAUAAAACAAGUUUCUCUUGUCUUGAAAGCGAUUGGAAUGGCAACCCCUCUGAACUCUUUCUGGUAAUAAUUAAAUGUCAAGACCACAACAUUUUUAGAAGUUUAGUAAGGGCUUGAUCACAAUGAAGAAUGAAAUAAGAAAGGUGGGGCAUGGAAAAGAAAUAAAGGAACUUGGAC
Molecule: long non-coding RNA, 1031 nt
Filed under: Sarcophilus harrisii (Tasmanian devil)
Lineage: Eukaryota; Metazoa; Chordata; Mammalia; Dasyuromorphia; Dasyuridae
Description: lncRNA (ENSSHAG00000031919.1)
Source: RNAcentral